This 75-nucleotide non-coding RNA is filed under the name Candidatus Desulfosporosinus infrequens. Lineage: Bacteria; Bacillati; Bacillota; Clostridia; Eubacteriales; Desulfitobacteriaceae. The record is from RNAcentral.
GAACGCCGUGUGAUAGGAAACUGUCAUGCACGGUGUGGGACGGGGGCUGCGACAAGAAGCGACUUCUUCCGUGAA